Molecule: long non-coding RNA, 1380 nt
Filed under: Papio anubis (olive baboon)
Lineage: Eukaryota; Metazoa; Chordata; Mammalia; Primates; Cercopithecidae
Description: lncRNA (ENSPANG00000043092.1)
Source: RNAcentral
AUGUUUUUCAAAAUAGAUAAUCUUGGAAGUCCUACACAGAAUGCUCAGGCAAGAGAAAGAAAUAAAAGGAAGGAAGGCAUCGUGCAUGUCAGGAAGACAGAAUGGAAGUCUCUGCAGGACAGGAGGCAUGCAGGGAAAUAGAAGGAGAUGUGGCUAGGUGGAAAGAUUACUGGAACAAGAUAGGUAGAGUCUUGGAAUUCAGAAUAAAGACUUGAAAGGCAAGGUUUAUUUGCAGAACCAGUGGAGUGGGCAGGAAGAACAGGCAGGAACCACACAAGAGCUAUGUUCAGUCCUCCCUCCCUGAUGCUUUGAAACUGUCCUCCCAAGGCCCUUUCUCUUUGCUCAAUGAAGUGAAAACAUUUCUUCCACUUCCCAGAGUAACCCAGAAGACAUGCCCUAAGGCUCAGGGCUCCCCUCUUACAAGCUCGGGCAGCUCAUUAAGGAAAACUCCCCACAACUGUUUGCCUGGGCUCAGUCAGCGUAUAGACUAAAACAGAGCCAAGGUCCACAGCCUCUUGCCUGUCUGCCAUCUAAGCUUCCUGUGCCCCUACAGGAAGAAUUUACUACAGUGCUUCUCCUCUCACCUUUGGGGGAGCCCCAAGUAAAAAUGCUAGGCACUUUCACAUGACUCACCGGCUCACAGGUUCUCUCUCUCUCUCUCUCCCUCUCAAUCUCUGUCUCUCUCUCUCUCUCUCUCUCUCUCUCUCUCUCUCUCCCCCUACCACCUCCACUCCAAAGUAUUGUUUGCACCGUUCCACCGAAUAAUUACCUAAGAGACUGCCAAGGAGGAAUAUACUGCACAUCUUGUCUCUGGUGAGUCCAGCUCCAUCCCUAUAUAGUUGUACAUGUAGAAAUCACCUUUUGGGGGGUAUCAGCUGCCCUGAGAGCCUGGGGGAUGUUGGGAGAGAGCAGAGGGCCUCAUUGUCACUCUUACUCACGCGGGUGUUUGGAUAUCGGUGAUUUGGCCAGGUAAGGACAGAUAGGAUGGGAUCUGGCACAGAGAUGGGGUGGGUGUGAGGGCAUGACCAUCUUUUUGCCUGCCCACACUUAACGGACGGGGAAAUAAUGGGCAAAUCGCUGCCUGCCAAAGCCAGAGAUAAGAAAGCCUCAACCAAUGUAACCUACAUCCUCAACUAACUAGAUUUUUUUUCUUUUCUUCACUUUUGGCAUAAAGAGGCAAAUAAUCAGAUUUCAGAUUUAUAGCCAAGACUUUUUAAAACUAUGUCAAGAGAAUGAGAAGGGAAGCCAUAGACUGGGAGAAAAUAUGCGCAAAAAACAACUUUAGUAAAAGACUAUUAUUCAAAAAUAUACAAAAUAACUCUUAAAAAGUCAACAAUUAAGAGAAUCUAACAACUCAAUUAAAAAAUGGAAACCUGAACC